RNAcentral lists this ribosomal RNA (535 nucleotides) under uncultured Acinetobacter sp. RNAcentral describes it as "bacterial SSU rRNA". It matches the Rfam family "Bacterial small subunit ribosomal RNA", at positions 333 to 859 of the family's 1533-position model. Lineage: Bacteria; Pseudomonadati; Pseudomonadota; Gammaproteobacteria; Moraxellales; Moraxellaceae. The record is from RNAcentral.
AGAUUCCUACGGGAGGCAGCAGUGGGGAAUAUUGGACAAUGGGCGGAAGCCUGAUCCAGCCAUGCCGCGUGUGUGAAGAAGGCCUUUUGGUUGUAAAGCACUUUAAGCGAGGAGGAGGCUCCUUUAGUUAAUACCUAAAGAGAGUGGACGUUACUCGCAGAAUAAGCACCGGCUAACUCUGUGCCAGCAGCCGCGGUAAUACAGAGGGUGCGAGCGUUAAUCGGAUUUACUGGGCGUAAAGCGUGCGUAGGCGGCUUUUUAAGUCGGAUGUGAAAUCCCUGAGCUUAACUUAGGAAUUGCAUUCGAUACUGGGGAGCUAGAGUAUGGGAGAGGAUGGUAGAAUUCCAGGUGUAGCGGUGAAAUGCGUAGAGAUCUGGAGGAAUACCGAUGGCGAAGGCAGCCAUCUGGCCUAAUACUGACGCUGAGGUACGAAUGCAUGGGGAGCAAACAGGAUUAGAUACCCUGGUAGUCCAUGCCGUAAACGAUGUCUACUAGCCGUUGGGGCCUUUGAGGCUUUAGUGGCGCAGCUAACGCG